GUCUGCUUCAGGGUGCACUGUUGAUGAUUUGUUCCUAAAGCAUGGGAGGGCGAGGUUCCUCCAGGAUCACUUAGUGGAUGGUGCUGGAGGUAGGACCAUUGCUAAUGGGGCUGUAGCAUAAUACCCUCAAGGUCCAUCCAUGCUGUCACAAAUGUCCGGAUUUCGUCAUUUCUUAUGGCUGAGUAGUAGGUGAUAACUUUUUAAAUACAACACGAAAGUCACCAUGCAUUAAAAAAAAGAAUUGAUAAAUUACACUUCAUUAAAACUAAAAAUUUCUGCUCUGUGAAAGACACUGUCAAGAGAUUGAAAAGACAAGCCACAGAUUGAGACAAAUAUUUGCAAAAGACAUAUCAGAUAAGAACUGUUAUCCAACAUACACAAAGAGCUCUUAAAACUCAAUGAUAUGAAAAUGAACAACUCAAUUGAAAAAUGGGCAAAAAGUCUGAGAGACACCUUGCCAAUGAAGAUAUACAGAUGGCAAAUACGCAUGUGAAAGGAUGUUCAACAUGAUACAUCAUUAGGAAUUGUAAAUUAAUUAAAAAUGAGAUGACUGAAAUUUAAAAUGCUGACAACACCAAAUACUGGCAAGAUGUGGAACAGAAAGAAUUCUCAUUCAUUGCUGGUGAGACUGCAAAAUGGUGCAACUGGUUUGAAAGACAGUUUGGCAGUUUCUUUAAAAAACUAAACACAGUUUUACUGUACAAUUCAGCAGUUACACUCCUUGGUAUUAAAUAAGUGAGUUGAAAACUUGUGUCACACAAAAACCUGCACAUGAAUGUUUUUGCAGCUUCAUCCAUAAUGAACAAAGCUUGGAAGUGACCAAGAUAUCCCUCAAUAGGUGAAUGGAUGAAUAAAACAUGGUACAAUUAUACAAUGGAAUCUUAUACAUUAUUCUUAUAUAAAAAGAAAUGAGCUCUUUAGUCCUGAAAAGACAUGGAGGAACCUUUAAUGAAUAUGACUAAGUGAAAGAAGCCAAACUGAAAAGACCAUAUAUUUUAGGAUUGCAAGUAUACGACAUUCAGGAAAAGGCAAACUAUAGAGAUAGUAAGUGUUUCAGUGAUUGCCAAGCAUUUGAGCGAGGAAGGAAUGAAUAGGUGGAGCAUAGAGGAUGUGAUUUUUAAGACAGUGAAAUUAUUCUGUAUAAUACUAUAAGGAUGGAUACAUGUCAGUACACCUUUUUCAGAACCCAUGGAAAGUAUAACACAAAAAGUGAACUCUAACUUAGACUGUCAUCUUUCAUUGAAAAUGAUGUGUUGAUGAUGAAUGGUUGAUCAGUUGUAACA
RNAcentral lists this long non-coding RNA (1283 nucleotides) under Equus asinus (donkey). RNAcentral's name for it is "lncRNA (ENSEASG00005024139.1)". Lineage: Eukaryota; Metazoa; Chordata; Mammalia; Perissodactyla; Equidae. The record is from RNAcentral.